This 465-nucleotide ribosomal RNA is filed under the name uncultured Rhodoferax sp. RNAcentral describes it as "bacterial SSU rRNA". It matches the Rfam family "Bacterial small subunit ribosomal RNA", at positions 338 to 795 of the family's 1533-position model. Lineage: Bacteria; Pseudomonadati; Pseudomonadota; Betaproteobacteria; Burkholderiales; Comamonadaceae. The record is from RNAcentral.
CCUACGGGCGGCUGCAGUGGGGAAUUUUGGACAAUGGGCGCAAGCCUGAUCCAGCAAUGCCGCGUGCAGGAUGAAGGCCUUCGGGUUGUAAACUGCUUUUGUACGGAACGAAACGGUCCUCUCUAAUACGGGGGGCUAAUGACGGUACCGUAAGAAUAAGCACCGGCUAACUACGUGCCAGCAGCCGCGGUAAUACGUAGGGUGCGAGCGUUAAUCGGAAUUACUGGGCGUAAAGCGUGCGCAGGCGGUUUUGUAAGACAGAUGUGAAAUCCCCGGGCUCAACCUGGGACCUGCAUUUGUGACUGCAAGGCUAGAGUACGGUAGAGGGGGAUGGAAUUCCGCGUGUAGCAGUGAAAUGCGUAGAUAUGCGGAGGAACACCGAUGGCGAAGGCAAUCCCCUGGACCUGUACUGACGCUCAUGCACGAAAGCGUGGGGAGCAAACAGGAUUAGAUACCCUUGUAGUC